UUCAAUUUCAAAAAUAGAGGACUUUCUCUUUUUUUCAUGUUCACUCUCAUUUCUGUUCUCAACUCUCUUCUCAGUCCUCACGUUUUUCUUCUUUCUUUUUUUUUUGGUUCAGGAACUCUUCCUAAAGAAGUUUUGGAGAACCGAACAUCCCAACAUCAUCAAGAAUUGAAUUAUGUAAGGGUUUAAGUGUUAGUGUCUCUUGGAGAAGAGGAAGAGUUAGUAAGAAGUCUUGGAACGUCAUUGAGCUACAAGCAUGUAUCGUUGAACUCGAGUUGCACAAAACCUCAAACAGAGGCCAUUGUCAUAGACAACAUUAAGCGGUAGCACUUACCGCUAAGUGCAGACUCAACAAGAAGCCCCUGAAAGAUUGGAGUUGGGCGACACCUUAUUGCUACUAGGUGGUGAUGAAGUCAAAGAGACCAUGUUGCUCUAGCAUUGAAUGUGUCUUCUAGCACUAAGCAGUGACCCGUUGAAUGUUUUAUUCUAUGUGAUUUGUUGAGGAUCUAUGGUCCUUUUCACUUUCUAAGGGAUCUAGGUAGAAGAUGCUUGAGACUUGUAUGACUUAGUAGUAUUCCAUAUUGAUGAAUUGUAGUUAGUUCCACGAGUGAUGAUAUGUGUGUGGAUAUUGCUAAGUAUUCUUUGAUUAUAUAUAUGAUGCGUGAAAUGGUUAGUUAAUUAUGAAUUACGAUAAAGAACAAUGUAAUUUUAUAAUAAGGGUGAUGAUUUGAGUUACAUGAAAAUUGUGAUAGA
Vigna angularis (adzuki bean) is the source of this 750-nucleotide long non-coding RNA. RefSeq lists it as uncharacterized. The record is from RefSeq and is a predicted model, not a curated record. The transcript is spliced from 3 exons. Lineage: Eukaryota; Viridiplantae; Streptophyta; Magnoliopsida; Fabales; Fabaceae.